GCGGCCAUGGCGGAAUUGGUAGACGCGUACGUUUGAGGGGCGUAUGGGAAACCAUGAGAGUUCGAUUCUCUCUGGCCGCACCA
RNAcentral lists this transfer RNA (83 nucleotides) under Bacilli bacterium. RNAcentral's name for it is "tRNA-Leu". It matches the Rfam family "tRNA". Rfam says of the family: Transfer RNA (tRNA) molecules are approximately 80 nucleotides in length. The record is from RNAcentral. Lineage: Bacteria; Bacillati; Bacillota; Bacilli. RNAcentral also lists the same sequence under 1 other name.